GGGCGGUUAGCUCAGUUGGUUAGAGCAUUGCGUUGACAUCGCAAAGGCCGUAGGUUCGAGUCCUAUACCGCCCACAA
Molecule: transfer RNA, 77 nt
Filed under: Levilinea saccharolytica
Lineage: Bacteria; Bacillati; Chloroflexota; Anaerolineae; Anaerolineales; Anaerolineaceae
Description: tRNA-Val
Rfam family: tRNA
About the family: Transfer RNA (tRNA) molecules are approximately 80 nucleotides in length. Their secondary structure includes four short double-helical elements and three loops (D, anti-codon, and T loops).
Source: RNAcentral